AUUGAACGCUGGCGGCAGGCCUAACACAUGCAAGUCGAGCGGAUGAAGGGAACUUGCUCCUGGAUUCAGCGGCGGACGGGUGAGUAAUGCCUAGGAAUCUGCCUGGUAGUGGGGGAUAACGUCCGGAAACGGGCGCUAAUACCGCAUACGUCCUGAGGGAGAAAGUGGGGGAUCUUCGGACCUCACGCUAUCAGAUGAGCCUAGGUCGGAUUAGCUAGUUGGUGGGGUAAAGGCCUACCAAGGCGACGAUCCGUAGCUGGUCUGAGAGGAUGAUCAGUCACACUGGAACUGAGACACGGUCCAGACUCCUACGGGAGGCAGCAGUGGGGAAUAUUGGACAAUGGGCGAAAGCCUGAUCCAGCCAUGCCGCGUGUGUGAAGAAGGUCUUCGGAUUGUAAAGCACUUUAAGUUGGGAGGAAGGGCAGUAAGUUAAUACCUUGCUGUUUUGACGUUACCAACUGAAUAAGCACCGGCUAACUUCGUG
RNAcentral lists this ribosomal RNA (484 nucleotides) under uncultured bacterium. RNAcentral describes it as "partial 16S ribosomal RNA". It matches the Rfam family "Bacterial small subunit ribosomal RNA", at positions 30 to 507 of the family's 1533-position model. The record is from RNAcentral.